AUUGAACGCUGGCGGCAGGCCUAACACAUGCAAGUCGAGCGGAUGAAGGGAGCUUUCUCCUGGCUUCAGCUGCGGACGGGUGAGUAAUGCCUAGGAAUCUGCCCUGUAGUGGGGGAUAACGUCCGGAAACGGGCGCUAAUACCGCAUACGUCCUGAUGGAGAAAGUGGGGGAUCUUUGGACCUCACGCUAUUAGAUGAGCCUAGGUCGGAUUAGCUAGUUGGUGGGGUAAAGGCCUACCAAGGCGACGAUCCGUAACUGGUCUGAGAGGAUGAUCAGUCACACUGGAACUGAGACACGGUCCAGACUCCUACGGGAGGCAGCAGUGGGGAAUAUUGGACAAUGGGCGAAAGCCUGAUCCAGCCAUGCCGCGUGUGUGAAGAAGGUCUUCGGAUUGUAAAGCACUUUAAGUUGGGAGGAAGGGCAGUAAGUUAAUACCUUGCUGUUUUGACGUUACCAACAGAAUAAGCACCGGCUAACUUCGUG
This 484-nucleotide ribosomal RNA is filed under the name uncultured bacterium. RNAcentral's name for it is "partial 16S ribosomal RNA". It matches the Rfam family "Bacterial small subunit ribosomal RNA", at positions 30 to 507 of the family's 1533-position model. The record is from RNAcentral.